AUGGUGGCAACUGUCCUGGUUUGCCUGGGACUGAGGGGUUUCCUGGGAUGUGGGACUUUUGGUACUA
Molecule: microRNA precursor, 67 nt
Filed under: Dasypus novemcinctus (nine-banded armadillo)
Lineage: Eukaryota; Metazoa; Chordata; Mammalia; Cingulata; Dasypodidae
Description: miRNA (ENSDNOG00000049505.1)
Source: RNAcentral